Molecule: transfer RNA, 69 nt
Filed under: Polypterus teugelsi
Lineage: Eukaryota; Metazoa; Chordata; Cladistia; Polypteriformes; Polypteridae
Description: tRNA-His
Rfam family: tRNA
About the family: Transfer RNA (tRNA) molecules are approximately 80 nucleotides in length. Their secondary structure includes four short double-helical elements and three loops (D, anti-codon, and T loops). Further hydrogen bonds mediate the characteristic L-shaped molecular structure. tRNAs have two regions of fundamental functional importance: the anti-codon, which is responsible for specific mRNA codon recognition, and the 3' end, to which the tRNAs corresponding amino acid is attached (by aminoacyl-tRNA synthetases). tRNAs cope with the degeneracy of the genetic code in two manners: having more than one tRNA (with a specific anti-codon) for a particular amino acid; and 'wobble' base-pairing, i.e. permitting non-standard base-pairing at the 3rd anti-codon position.
Source: RNAcentral
GUUAAUAUAGUUUAAACAAAACAUUAGAUUGUGAUUCUAAUAAUAGAAGUUAAACUCUUCUUUUUAACC